GCGCACGCUGGCGGCAGGCUUAACACAUGCCAGUCGAGCGGGCAUAGCAAUAUGUCAGCGGCAGACGGGUGAGUAACGCGUGGGAACGUACCUUUUGGUUCGGAACAACUGAGGGAAACUUCAGCUAAUACCGGAUAAGCCCUUACGGGGAAAGAUUUAUCGCCGAAAGAUCGGCCCGCGUCUGAUUAGCUAGUUGGUGAGGUAAUGGCUCACCAAGGCGACGAUCAGUAGCUGGUCUGAGAGGAUGAUCAGCCACAUUGGGACUGAGACACGGCCCAAACUCCUACGGGAGGCAGCAGUGGGGAAUAUUGGACAAUGGGCGCAAGCCUGAUCCAGCCAUGCCGCGUGAGUGAUGAAGGCCCUAGGGUUGUAAAGCUCUUUUGUGCGGGAAGAUAAUGACGGUACCGCAAGAAUAAGCCCCGGCUAACUUCGUG
This 434-nucleotide ribosomal RNA is filed under the name uncultured bacterium. Its description in RNAcentral is "partial 16S ribosomal RNA". It matches the Rfam family "Bacterial small subunit ribosomal RNA", at positions 29 to 507 of the family's 1533-position model. The record is from RNAcentral.